RNAcentral lists this ribosomal RNA (202 nucleotides) under uncultured Sphingobacteriales bacterium. RNAcentral describes it as "partial 16S ribosomal RNA". It matches the Rfam family "Bacterial small subunit ribosomal RNA", at positions 1180 to 1382 of the family's 1533-position model. The record is from RNAcentral. Lineage: Bacteria; Pseudomonadati; Bacteroidota; Sphingobacteriia; Sphingobacteriales.
UGACGUCAAAUCAGCAGGCCCUUACGUCCAGGGCUACACACGUGCUACAAUGGCCGAUACAGAGGGCAGCUACCUGGUGACAGGAUGCAAAUCUCCAAAGUCGGUCUCAGUUCGGAUCGGAGUCUGCAACCCGACUCCGUGAAGUUGGAUUCGCUAGUAAUCGCGCAUCAGCCAUGGCGCGGUGAAUACGUUCCCGGGCCUU